CCAGGAAGUGAGGGAGGACACCAGGAGCAGCAGCAGCGAGGACGGUGAAGCAGGCCACCAGCGAGGGAGAGGAAGACGGAGCCGAGCACUCAGAUUGGACAAAUGAUACACAGUCACAAAUGCUGAGCAUACAACAGUGGGAGUCUCUGUUGAAAAUACAGCUGUGUACAGAGACCAAUCUGGAUGUACCCCAAGUAUGGACACUUGGUGUUAUAAAGGUGAACAGCAGUUAGAGGCUUAGUUUGUCCAUGCUACAAGGAAAAGGCAUCAUUGAAGUAUGGAGCUGGGGAUUUCUAAAUACAAACCGAUGCUGACAAAUGAAAAAUAUACCUCCAUAUAAAUAAAUGUAGAAUUCACUUGAA
This is a long non-coding RNA of Pseudophryne corroboree (corroboree frog), 362 nucleotides long. RefSeq lists it as uncharacterized. The transcript has 3 exons. The record is from RefSeq and is a predicted model, not a curated record. Lineage: Eukaryota; Metazoa; Chordata; Amphibia; Anura; Myobatrachidae.